GGAGUAGUAAUCCUAAUUGGUAAGGAAGUAGUUUGCUAAACUACCAGUAAUCGGGAACGAUGUGCAGGUUCGAGUCCUGUCUACUCCGCCA
RNAcentral lists this transfer RNA (91 nucleotides) under Siphoviridae sp. cta6m1. RNAcentral describes it as "tRNA-Ser". It matches the Rfam family "tRNA". Rfam says of the family: Transfer RNA (tRNA) molecules are approximately 80 nucleotides in length. Their secondary structure includes four short double-helical elements and three loops (D, anti-codon, and T loops). Lineage: Duplodnaviria; Heunggongvirae; Uroviricota; Caudoviricetes. The record is from RNAcentral.